AGGAUUUUAAGUUUAAUCAGAAUUAUGUCUAUUUUACAAAAGGUUAAAAAUCAAUCAAUUUCAGUAAAAUAUGCAUGCCUUUGUUUUAAUAUUGUGAGCUCAGAUGUUAGAGUUGUAGAGAGGCCUAUUUAAUUCCCAGAUCUGUCAUGAAUUAGCUAAGUGACUUUUUGUAAAUUCCCUUACCUUCCUGAGCUUUGGUUACCUUAUCUUUAAUAUGAGGAUUAUUCUCACUCAAAGUGUUGAUAAAACAAAGGUUUUGUUAGGAUUAAAUGAGGUAAUAAUUGUAAAAUAUGCCAUACGAUGUGGCUGGCAUGUAAAGAACACUUGACAAACGGGAUUAUGGAAAGUACAAUACAUCAUUAUUACUAAAACUUUAACCAUUUUUAACUCUUAGUAGUGCUCUAAAAAGUUCUUCAUUUUUAUCAGAAUACUGUGAAGUUUAGCUUCAAUAAAUUGUCACCAGAAGAUUUGAUGAGGGGAGGAUUCCUCUUCUCUGUCUUGGAAAGUAGACUGUUGAAGUAAAUGCAAUUCCUAUAGUGAUGUACAAAGUAAAGAAAAAACACCAUGAUAAUAAUGAAUGAGACUUCAUUACUGGUAUACUUACUUUGAUUCUGUUUUGCCUGUGUAAAUGAAACUUUUUAGGAAAAUUCUUAACAUUUUAGCAAACAUCUUCAUCUGUUUUGAACAUCAAAGUACUCCUUGAGAGAGUAUAGCUUUCUGAUUCCACAGUUUUGUAAGGUGACACUCGGGACAGUCAAAUGUCUCUCCAGGUCAUUCUUGUGGUAAGUAAUGCAGGUGGGGCUUGAACAAAUUUUUCUUGUCCUCUGCUCUUAUCUGCCACUAAGAUAUCUCUUAGAGCUUCUCCAAAGGGGAUCUUAAAAGAUGUAUUAACUGGAGGUUAAAUCACACAUCCUAGCUAGUGUGGUUACAGAUAAUUUAGGGUACCAGGAUUAUUGAUGUAAUUCAUAAGUAUAUCAGACCUAAUUAACAUGAACUCUAUUACUCUGAUGGUUCUUUCUUUGGAUACAGGAUCGAUAAAUAGAUAUAAUCAAAAUUGAAAUGUUUGGACAGAAUCACAUGAUAAACAGGGAAAAAUGAAGAGUGGCUACAGAAUAGAAUUAGAGAGCGAUACAUGGUGAUGGUUUUAUAAAAGAUGUAACAGGGUUAAAGAUGCAUUGCAUGUGGGAUUUGCAUUGUUCCUGGUUACUGUCUCUCUCUCUCUCCUCACCAAUACCUCAAUACCUCUCUUUUAUAAGAAACAAUGUUACUAAAUGUGUGUAUGUAUCCGAAUAAAUUAGAUCUCCAAGACUUCCAGAGGAUAAGGGGUCAGAAAUACAUGAGGCCUGAAAUCUUGCAAGACCUGACUUUGUUCGGAUGAUAUUAAGAUGGCUCAGAAUGGGGUUUGGAAGGGUAAUUUCUCAAUAAACUGUAUUGAACACAUAAAUGAAUGGCCUCUUUCAACCUUUAAGGUACUUGAACAGAUGCAGACAAGGGUGGCUAACCCAGUGAUGUUUUAAAAAUGUUCCCGUUAAAAGUUUGAGAGGCUUAUAUGCAGUGAAUUUUAAAUCUAUUUAAAAUCUAUUGUGUCUUAGUUUUACAAUAAGGAAGAAUAUAAUUGAAAUUCUCAUAAACUAGUAAUGUUUGGAAUCUUUUCUUUGGAUAGUUGCUUUAAGAUAAAUACAGCAUAUAAUGAAAUAACUUCCUUGCUCUGGUCAUUAAAUGCUUAUGCAAUUAUGUUAAUUAAAGCUUUACUAUGUUUUUUGCAGAGUCAUCUUUUCUUGCUUCUAAACUGUUUGGGCUGCCUCUACCUUUGCUGCUUCCUCUUGGGAUCAGGAAAUUUGGCAAUUGCUAAAUCCAGUGUUGGUUUUUGCAAUGCCAUCUUUUUUGACUCAUCAAUUUCAUUUGAUGGAGAUGACUGCUGCCUCUUCUUUGAGACAGUUUCUUCAUUUGGCUCUCCUGGUUUUCCCCAAAUCAAACUGAACAUUCUCUCUCAAGAUCCUUUGCAGGUUUCUUCUAAUCUCCCAAGUUUUUAGUGUUGGAACAUCUUUGUUCUUUUAUCUACCUGCACUCAUUCACUUGGUAAUCUCAUACAAUUGUAAAGCUUUAAAUACUUCAGGGACUUUUAGAUUUAUGUCCACAGCUUAGACUCCACACACCUCUGCCCAGCCAGAUUGCAAGUCUUAUCUCCAAUUGUUCACCAUUGACACCAUUAACCAUGUUAGUUCAUUAAGUCCAGCCAACCAUAUGAUCCUUUCCCUUGAGCCUGUUCCUCCCAAGGUCUUCCUAUCUCAGUAAAAGACAGACCUAGUCCUACAAAAGCUUGGACCAAAAACUUGGAGUAUCUUGGGCUCUCUCCACACCCCAUGUUCAUUCCAGCUCCUAUUCGGUGCACUUUUAGAGCAAGAGUAUUCUGAGCCUAAGUACUUGUCAUCACCUCCUCUGCUCCUGCCUGAUACCAAGUCACCUCCUAUAUGUAAUGCAACUAGUCUCUUCCUGUCUGUCUCCUGGAUGGUCUACUUCAACACAGCAGCCCAGAGGACCUUGUUACAAAGCAAAUCAGGUCAUGUUAAUAUCUUCUCUAGUCCCUUCAUUUACCUCCCCAUCUCAGACUAGAAGCCAACAUUCUAUGAUAGAUUUAAAUCUCCAAAAUAGAUCCUGAAAUCUGCUCUGGCCUCCCCUUCACUCCUAAAGCUCCAUCCACAUCCCCACUGCAGGCAGGUCCAGGUGUACUGCCUUCCUUGCUGUUCUCAAAUAUCCCAGAAACUCCCGCCAAAGGGCUUGCUGUUCCCCUAUCUGGAAUUCCAUCUCCUGUGAUACCCAAAGUUCACAUCCUUGUUUCUUUCAAUAUUUAUCCAAAUAUUAAUCACUCAGUGGGGACUUUACAACAUGCCUUAUUUGACAUCGCACCUCUGUGUCUUAAGUUUUAAUCACAAAGCUACAUUUCAUUUGUUUCUGCUGUUGAUUGUCUGAAGACAGUUAUAUUACAUCAAGAAUUCAGUAAAUGUCUGUUAAUUGAUGUAAGUAUCCCCCAAAAUGUAAUGUUUAAAAACAUUAAGUUCAUCAUUUCAUACACACACAUUUUAUAUCAAAAAUUUUUAUAUUCAAUAUAUAAUAUAUAUAGGACCUUCUUUAUUUCUCUUUCUCAAAAAAGGAAAAAAAAAAGAAAGAAAGAAACAGAAUACACCAAAUACCAUUCAUGCCAUUCAAUGGCUCCUUAAGUUUGUUCCACUGGCUUCACUUCUAUUAAUUGUAUCUUUUUUGAAUUUUCAUUGACGAUAUUUUGUAUUGAGUUAUUUGAAAAAUCUUUCCUCCAAAUUUAAUGUUAAUUUUAUUACCACUUGAUUCCAUCAUUCCAAACAUAAUUUAGACAUUUCACUGAAAUAAACGGUGGUUGUUUAUUUACUAAGCACAAAUAUUUUAAAGACAUAAUAUGGGUUAACUACUCUUUUAAAAAGAUGCAAGCUACAAAUAUUGUGUAUGAGAAAGGAAGGUCAAAUCUAAGCUAUAGAUCUGAUAUGUGACCUAUAUAAAAUUAUAAUAACACAAACUAAAAAUUUAGAGUUGUAUUUAUAUAACAUGUAAAAUAUAAAGAUUUGAUUAUGUAAUUUUACCUCCAGGACAACUUUCCUUUUUAUACUCCCCCCCCCCCAAAAAAAAACAUGAAUAGCUUUAAUGUUAUAAAACCACACUAGCAUUCCUUCAAAACUGUUUUUGUUGUUGUUGUUUAGCUCCUUUAAUCUUUCAAAAAGUAAACAUAAAAGAGAAAGAGCAAGAGAGAAAGAAAGAGGGAGAGAAAAAAGAAAUAACAUCUUUGUCAGGAAAACUAGAUAAACAUGAUGUACUGCUUAAGAUCAUGGAUCUGGAGCAAACUGCCUGGGUUUAAAUUCCUGCCAUCCCACUUACUAGUGCUUAUUGGGCAAAAUCCUCACCAUCUCCUUGCCUUUGUUUUCUAAGCUAUUAAGUAGAGAUAGCAAUAGAACCUACAGAAUAGGAUUAUUAAUAAGAGUAAAUGGUAUAAUGCUUAAGAUAUGCUUGUAACAAGCAUUAUAUGAGAAAUGCUUGUAGGAGUUCCUUUUGUGGCUCAGUGGUUAAGGAACCCUACUAGGAACCAUGAGAAUGCAGGUUUGAUCCCUGGCCUUGCUCAGUGGGUUAAGGAUGUGGUGUUGCCAUGAGGUGUGCUGGAGGUUGCAGAUGUGGCUUGGAUCCCAUGUUGCUGUGGCUGUGGCUGUGGCUGGUAGGUGUAGAUCUGAUUCGACUCCUAACCUGAGAACUUCCGUAUGCCAUGGGCACAGCCCUAAAAAGCAAAAAAGAAAUGAAAAGAAAGAAAUGCUUAUAUAAUGCUUAAGAAAUGCUAGUAGUGGAGUUCCCGUCGUGGCGCAGUGGUUAACGAAUCCGACUAGGAACCAUGAGGUUGCGGGUUCGGUCCCUGCCCUUGCUCAGUGGGUUAACGAUCCGGCGUUGCCAUGAGCUGUGGUGUAGGUUGCAGACGUGGCUCGGAUCCCGCGUUGCUGUGGCUCUGGCGUAGGCCAGUGGCUACGGCUCCGAUUCGACCCCUAGCCUGGGAACCUCCAUAUGCCGCGGGAGCGGCCCAAGAAAUAGCAACAACAACAACAACAACAAUAAUGCCACGGGAGCGGCCCAAGAAAUAGCAACAACAACAACAAAAAAAAAAA
RNAcentral lists this long non-coding RNA (4673 nucleotides) under Sus scrofa (pig). RNAcentral's name for it is "lncRNA (ENSSSCG00000055069.1)". Lineage: Eukaryota; Metazoa; Chordata; Mammalia; Artiodactyla; Suidae. The record is from RNAcentral.